RNAcentral lists this ribosomal RNA (1444 nucleotides) under metagenome. Its description in RNAcentral is "bacterial SSU rRNA". It matches the Rfam family "Bacterial small subunit ribosomal RNA". The record is from RNAcentral.
AGAGUUUGAUCCUGGCUCAGGAUGAACGCUGGCGGCGUGCUUAACACAUGCAAGUCGAACGAGCCUUCGGGCUAGUGGCGGACGGGUGAGUAACGCGUGAGAAUCUGCCCUCAGGAGGGGGAUAACGGCUGGAAACGGCCGCUAAUACCCCAUAUGCCGCGAGGUGAAAUGAGAAAUCGCCUGAGGAUGAGCUCGCGUCUGAUUAGCUAGUUGGUGGGGUAAGAGCCUACCAAGGCAUCGAUCAGUAGCUGGUCUGAGAGGAUGAUCAGCCACACUGGGACUGAGACACGGCCCAGACACCUACGGGAGGCAGCAGUGGGGAAUUUUCCGCAAUGGGCGCAAGCCUGACGGAGCAACGCCGCGUGAGGGAUGAUGGCCUCUGGGCUGUAAACCUCUUUUCUCAAGGAAGAAGAACUGACGGUACUUGAGGAAUAAGCCACGGCUAAUUCCGUGCCAGCAGCCGCGGUAAUACGGGAGUGGCAAGCGUUAUCCGGAAUUAUUGGGCGUAAAGCGUCCGCAGGCGGUCUUGAAAGUCUGCUGUUAAAGCGUGGAGCUCAACUCCAUUUCAGCAAUGGAAACUAGAAGACUAGAGUGUGGUAGGGGCAGAGGGAAUUCCCGGUGUAGCGGUGAAAUGCGUAGAUAUCGGGAAGAACACCAGUGGCGAAGGCGCUCUGCUGGGCCAUAACUGACGCUCAUGGACGAAAGCCAGGGGAGCGAAAGGGAUUAGAUACCCCUGUAGUCCUGGCCGUGAACGAUGAACACUAGGUGUCGGGGGAAUCGACCCCCUCGGUGUCGUAGCCAACGCGUUAAGUGUUCCGCCUGGGGAGUACGCACGCAAGUGUGAAACUCAAAGGAAUUGACGGGGGCCCGCACAAGCGGUGGAGUAUGUGGUUUAAUUCGAUGCAACGCGAAGAACCUUACCAGGGUUUGACAUCCUGCGAAUCUUUUGGAAACAGAAGAGUGCCUUCGGGAGCGCAGAGACAGGUGGUGCAUGGCUGUCGUCAGCUCGUGUCGUGAGAUGUUGGGUUAAGUCCCGCAACGAGCGCAACCCACGUCUUUAGUUGCCAGCAUUAAGUUGGGCACUCUAGAGAGACCGCCGGUGAUAAACCGGAGGAAGGUGUGGAUGACGUCAAGUCAUCAUGCCCCUUACAUCCUGGGCUACACACGUACUACAAUGCUACGGACAGAGGGCAGCAAACUCGCGAGAGCUAGCAAAUCCCAUAAACCGUGGCUCAGUUCAGAUCGUAGGCUGCAACUCGCCUACGUGAAGGAGGAAUCGCUAGUAAUCGCAGGUCAGCAUACUGCGGUGAAUACGUUCCCGGGCCUUGUACACACCGCCCGUCACACCAUGGAAGUUGGCCAUGCCCGAAGUCGUUACUCCAACCCUUGUGGAGGAGGACGCCGAAGGUGGGGCUGAUGACUGGGGUGAAGUCGAAACAAGGUA